ACCUGGGUGCUGCAUUCCAAACUGGAUAUCUAGAGUGCAGGAGAGGAAAGUAGAAUUCCUAGUGUAGCGGUGAAAUGCGUAGAUAUCAGGAGGAACACCGGUGGUGUAGACGGCUCUCUGGACCGUAACUGACGCUGAAACACGAAAGCGUGGGUAGCAAACAGGAUUAGAUACCCUGGUAGUCCACGCCCUAAACGAUGCAUAUUUGGUGUGGGCAGUUCAUUCUGUCCGUGCCGGAGCUAACGCGUUAAAUAUGCCGCCUGGGGAGUACAGUCGCAAGGCUGAAACUCAAAGGAAUUGACGGGGGCCCGCACAAGCGGUGGAGCAUGUGGUUCAAUUCGACGCAACGCGAAGAACCUUACCUGGGCUCGAACGGCUGGUCAACGCCGGUGGAAACAUCGGUACCCCGCAAGGGG
RNAcentral lists this ribosomal RNA (416 nucleotides) under uncultured bacterium. Its description in RNAcentral is "bacterial SSU rRNA". It matches the Rfam family "Bacterial small subunit ribosomal RNA", at positions 612 to 1026 of the family's 1533-position model. The record is from RNAcentral.